UACGUAGGGUGCAAGCGUUGUCCGGAAUUAUUGGGCGUAAAGAGCUCGUAGGCGGUCUGUCGCGCCUGCUGUGAAAACUCAGGGCUUAACCCUGAGCUUGCAGUGGGUACGGGCAGACUAGAGUGCGGUAGGGGAGACUGGAAUUCCUGGUGUAGCGGUGAAAUGCGCAGAUAUCAGGAGGAACACCGGUGGCGAAGGCGGGUCUCUGGGCCGUAACUGACGCUGAGGAGCGAAAGCAUGGGGAGCGAACAGG
This 253-nucleotide ribosomal RNA is filed under the name uncultured bacterium. RNAcentral's name for it is "partial 16S ribosomal RNA". It matches the Rfam family "Bacterial small subunit ribosomal RNA", at positions 524 to 776 of the family's 1533-position model. The record is from RNAcentral.